Molecule: ribosomal RNA, 471 nt
Filed under: Nephotettix virescens
Lineage: Eukaryota; Metazoa; Arthropoda; Insecta; Hemiptera; Cicadellidae
Description: partial large subunit ribosomal RNA
Source: RNAcentral
GGUAAAUUCUGCCCUAUGGUUUUCUAAAUGGCUGCAGUAUUUUGACUGUGCAAAGGUAGCAUAGUAAUUAGUUUCUUAAUUAGAAGCUGGUAUGAAUGGAUUAAUGAGAAAGAUAUUUUAUUAAUUUCAUUUUUAUAAAUUAAAUUUUAAGUAAAAAUGCUUAAUUAAUUUCUAGGGACGAUAAGACCCUAUAGAACUUUAUAUAAUAUCAUAUAUUAAUAUAUUUUUAUAAAAAAUAUUAUAUUAAUAUUUAUUAUAAUUUACUGGGGUGGUAGAUAAAUUUUAACUUUAUAUUUAAAUUUCAAUAAUUAAUGUAAAUAAUGAUCCUUAUGGAAUUUAAGAUUUAGUUACCUUAGGGAUAACAGCGCAAUUUAAGUGGGGAGUUCAUAUCUAUAUUUUAUUUUGCGACCUCGAUGUUGAAUUAAGGAAAGAUUAAGAAGUAGAGUUCUUGUAUCUAAGUCUGUUCGACUU